Molecule: long non-coding RNA, 1193 nt
Organism: Leopardus geoffroyi (Geoffroy's cat)
Lineage: Eukaryota; Metazoa; Chordata; Mammalia; Carnivora; Felidae
Exons: 3
Source: RefSeq, a predicted model, not a curated record
CCUCUGGUGUUAGAGAGCCCUUUGAAGUCUGGCUGGCCUCUCCAGCCUCUGCCUCGUCUACCUCUGACAAGCACAGAGGCUUGAUUUCUGGCUCCUGUCUUCAUCCCUCUGUCUGACCAAAUCAUACUGCCUCAGGAUGGGCUGGGUCCCUAGGUUUGUAUGGAGCAUGACACACAGGGGCCCACUUUGUUCCGGAGUCUAUGGGGAGGUAUCUUCAAAUGACCCCGGUUCUGCCUUCGGAGUUGGUGACUCAGAUGGGACAAACUUUACUGGCUGGACACUGCUUGUUCUGAGGCUGUUGCAGCUGAGAAAUCUUUGACAAAAAAAGCUAAGAAUUCUUACAACAUCAGCCUCUGAGAUCUCUGCCUACAGGGAGAAUUGGAAACAAGAGAGACCACUUAGAAAGAUCACCAGAGAUAUUCAAAUUACAAAUCAGGAAGAUCUAUCAUAUUGUCACUGCCCACCCUCACUCCAUCUGAAGAUGCUUCAAGCUGGACAUCUAGAAGUCUUCUCAACUGUCUGCCUUCAAAACUCAUAAACUGUGACUGUAGUCUGCUCUGAUCAUUAGCCAUUGUUUUUCUUUUGUUUCCAUAGAAAUAUCUCUUAUUAAAUACCAGGUGGCUUGCACCACAGGCCUAACAUGAGCCCACUUACUUCUCUGCAUCCUGAAAUGAGACACAACUGUUUCACUGAACUGACCUAUUCUCAGGACUAAGAGACUAGUUCAAUUAGGUGAAGCAGUCUAUCAACUUAACUUCUGGACUGCAAAACUUCUUAGGGAAGUUUCAAAGGAAAACAGGAGGAGCAUUAUCCUGAAAUAUGCCACAUUGGCAUGUAGAUUAUUUUGAGCUAAAGGCAAUCAAGACCCAGCAGAUUAAAGAAAAACUUUUACUUCUCCCUUAACUAUCUAAAAGGAAUUUAAAUAGAGAGCCUGGUCCGGAAAGAGAGCUAUUACCAAAGAUAACCUUUUGUCUGAAAGACAUAUCUAUAUGGCAAAGCAAACAUCUAAUUCCCAAACAUCUGCUUUUCCUAUUGUCCGUGAAUCACCUUCCUCCUCUUGAUGCCUGAAGCCCUUAUCCCAUUUCUUAAAUCAGGGUGUCAUAUAAGUUUCAGCUGACUGACUUGUCCUUGGGUGUCAUAUAUUUUGUGGGACUCCCUUAUAAAUGUAAUUAAAUUUGUUUUUCUCCAGUUAA